Long non-coding RNA from Myodes glareolus (Bank vole), 1695 nucleotides. RefSeq lists it as uncharacterized. The record is from RefSeq and is a predicted model, not a curated record. NCBI's taxonomy places the organism in Eukaryota, Metazoa, Chordata, Mammalia, Rodentia, Cricetidae.
CUCGCCCGGCUCCGUGGCCGCGCCCGGCAGACUCACGGCGCGUGGCAGGGCUGCUGGGCCAUGGCCUCAGGCUUCCGAGAGCCCGGGGUUGAAGGAUCCGGAAUGAAGGGAGCUUCCCUUCUGCUCUCAACACCUGAGGAAACUGGUGGAAAGUUUGAGAAAGAGAAGUCCAAUCAUCUUUCCGCUUCCGCCCUCCCUAUGACACUCCGGCCACGAGAAGGAGCAGGAAAGGUCCACGUCUCCGAAGGACCACCGCAAGCCACGCCAAUCCUGUCUCCUUGCAUCUGCCCUGACUUCUGAGCAUCUGAGAACUUUGCUCUUUUUACAGACCUCCCUGGGUUGUUCAGACCACACAGGCCUGGCUGCCUACUCUGACCCUCCAGAUGCAGCGCCAGUCAGCCAGCCCUCCCAAGGUCCACACCAAGUCUUCCCCUCUCCCUCCGCAUGCUGUCUACGCAGACCCUAACUGGAACCCUAUGGGGAAACUUGGACUGGAGACCUGUGGCUAUCCGGUGUGGGGUUUUUCAUCUCGCCAGAGUGCUUCUUUUCGGUACCAGUCUUUCCUGAAUUUCUGAGGCUGCACCAUGCACCUUCUGUACAAAGGAGCCCAGGAGGAAAAAUUCCUGAGUCCAUGGCCAGUGAACAGAUGAACGUCUACAAUGUUGUGCAGAGGCUCUUGAAGCAAGGUUGACAAAGACAAACACAGGUACCGUGUGGAACACAAGUUCAGUGUGGAAGACUGACAGAUCAUCAAAGUUGAAGAAACCUUUGGAGAUGGCUGCCAACAGAUCUAGGACAUUCGUCUGGGUACUUUAUGAGAAUGUCAAAUAAAUUCUGUUACUACCAUGCACAUUGGGAAGUGUUUUAACACCUACUCUUCCCUUAACACAGCACUUGUCUCAGCCUCUGAGGGAGUUUGAGGCAGACCCAGGCCCUUGCAGGUUUACAGCAGACCAAUUAACACAACACCAUUGACCUUGCCGAAUAGGGAGGAGAGAGAUUUUUGUCUCCUUAUCUUUGCCAAAGAGAACAAUCUGACUGAAAAAGAAAAGAGAACCUAGGUAAGGGAAAAUUGAAGUUUGAGAUGAGUAGAGAUAUUCUAACAGCCCCAAGCUGCUGUAAUUGAGCUCAAGCCUCUUGGGCAGGACAAAUUACACUCCAGGGAGUAGAGAGAACUCACCGCUGAAGAUGGAGUAUAGAUCUUCCACUGGUAACAUUUAAGGACUGUAGAGACUGAGGGAAACUGGGAUGCUGGAGGUGGCAACAAAGCCCUGCUUUUUAAAGAUGGGGAAAGAGCUUGUAACUAUAGACGCAAGUUUCUCCUCUCCAUCCUCAUUAAAUUCCCUGAUCAGAUCAUUGAGGAUGAGUCAUGAGCAAAUGGAAAAAAAAAUUGGAGCAGAACUCUCUAGAAGCCAAAAGCAAAACCCCAACAAAGUAGUUGUUUUCCCAGUUAUGUGGUAGGCUCGUGUACUGGUUAGUUUUUUUUUUUGUUGUUGUUGUUGUUAAUAUGACACAAGCUAGGGACAUCUGGGAAGAGGGAACCUCAGCUGAGAAAAUGUCUCAUUGUGGGUAAAUGUUGAUUAAUGGCUGAUGUGGGAGGUUUCAGAAAACUAUAGGCAAUGACACCCCUGGGCAAGUCAAGAUUGUUUAUCUAUAUAUUAAAAAAAAAUCAGGCUGAGCAAGCCACAGGGAGCA